This 242-nucleotide long non-coding RNA is filed under the name Gorilla gorilla gorilla (western lowland gorilla). RNAcentral's name for it is "lncRNA (ENSGGOG00000044467.1)". Lineage: Eukaryota; Metazoa; Chordata; Mammalia; Primates; Hominidae. The record is from RNAcentral.
CUCAAUCUGAUUGGCCCUCGAGCUGUGGAUGUGCUGUCUGAGUUGUCCUAUGCCCCUAUGACUCCAGACCACUUCCCCAGCCUCUUUUGCAAGAAAACCGUAAUUCAGGAGUGAACAGCACCCUCUAUAAGGUGUCACAGGAGCAGCCUGAAAUCCAUUAGGCAGUCAUUCUGAAGCUGUGGUGAAAUCGAAGGGAAGCUAAUGUUGCAGCUAGGAAGAUGAGAUCCAGGCUGAGGAUCACA